AUUGCAUCCAACUCCUGGCUCGCUGUCAGCACGCACUGCACACUCCUGACACACACCAGCACUUGCACACCUGCACGCACCACUGCACACACCAGCACCAACCAAGGCACAGCUGCACACGGCAGCAUGCACAGCCCCACACAAGCACACGCAGCUGCACGAGCGCUGCACGCUCACAGCUGCACACAAAUGUUCCGGCACAGAUGAGAGGGAAGAAGUCUGUGCACACAUCUGAAGGCGCACACACGUGUGCACACACAGGUGGUGCACACGUGGGUGCACACACACACCCCGCCAUGCACUGCCCGCGCAGCCCCCAGCCCCGGCUGCGAUGUUGGGUUGCAGAAAAUGCUCACUCUGAGUGGCCCCGAGGGUCGGGAAACCCGAAAUGGGCACCUUUGAGGCCAGUGUGGAGGCAGCAGACACUUCUGUGUCGGCGUCAGAUUUUUUCUGAAGCAGUUCCCAUGGAAAAGGAAACUCCCGAUCUCCUGUGAUCGCGUACGACAGAUGAUCCUCUUGUUUUGCAUGUGAAAAAAAUCGUCUGAGAUUUACAGCCCUCCCAAACGGAGAUAAAGCCUUGGCAAUGAGUUGGAAACCUGUUGUAAUCUGUGAUCCAGGAAACAAAGAGCCUCAUUAAUGCAGAGACUUUGGUUUUCGUUCAUUUAAUAGGAGCAGUUUGGAUUACUCUCUCUGGACACACUUCAUCCUCUCCUACAUGCCUAUUUAGUGCAAGGACCACAUCUACCACUGGCAGGCUGAACAUCCCCAUCUGCCUUCCUAUCUCAUUGCAUCCGGAGCCGAUACAUUUCC
Gallus gallus (chicken) is the source of this 810-nucleotide long non-coding RNA. NCBI's taxonomy places the organism in Eukaryota, Metazoa, Chordata, Aves, Galliformes, Phasianidae. The record is from Ensembl.